CCAGCAUGCAGCAGCAACCUGCUCUGCUGCCCUUCUAUGUUGUGCAAGGCUUGUUCUUAUAAACUGAAGAGGUAAUCAAUCACUCUGGAGAUUUCUACAAGAAAACAGGGCUGGAGCAGUGAAGAGAAAUUACAUGAAUAUAGAUUUCUGUCAAUGUAUCAAAGAACUUCUUAAGAGACACAGC
This is a long non-coding RNA of Gorilla gorilla gorilla (western lowland gorilla), 184 nucleotides long. RefSeq lists it as uncharacterized. The record is from RefSeq and is a predicted model, not a curated record. The transcript is spliced from 3 exons. NCBI's taxonomy places the organism in Eukaryota, Metazoa, Chordata, Mammalia, Primates, Hominidae.